CUUCCAUGCUGCGGUGCGGUGCAAGUCCUUUGGAACAAGGCGCCAGCGAGGGUGACAGCCCCGUCCCACCACCACCAACGCAUCUGGAGGGCACCGACGAGUCGAGUUGUUUGGGAAUGCAGCUCUAAGUGGGUGGUAAAUUCCAUCUAAAGCUAAAUACCGGCGAGAGACCGAUAGCGAACAAGUACAGUGAUGGAAAGAUGAAAAGCACUUUGAAAAGAGAGUGAAACAGUACGUGAAAUUGUUGAAAGGGAAGGGCUUGCACCCAGACACGGCCUCGGCCGGGCCAGCAUCUGGUGGAGAAGAGUAAAAAAGGGUGGUUGAUGUAGCUGCCAGGCUCGCCUGGCAGUGUUAUACAGCUGCCUCCUUGCUCUUUCUCCGCCAGAGGACUGCAAUCUACGGAUGCUGGCGCAAUGGUUGCAAGCCACCCGUCUU
This 435-nucleotide ribosomal RNA is filed under the name Candidozyma ruelliae. RNAcentral's name for it is "[Candida] ruelliae partial large subunit ribosomal RNA". It matches the Rfam family "Eukaryotic large subunit ribosomal RNA", at positions 160 to 655 of the family's 3401-position model. Lineage: Eukaryota; Fungi; Ascomycota; Pichiomycetes; Serinales; Metschnikowiaceae. The record is from RNAcentral.